Molecule: small nuclear RNA, 112 nt
Organism: Octodon degus (degu)
Lineage: Eukaryota; Metazoa; Chordata; Mammalia; Rodentia; Octodontidae
Source: Ensembl
GUGGAAUACCCACCUCAGUAGCACAUACACUAACGUUGGAAUGACACAAAGAACGUCAGCACAGCCCCAGCCCAAGGCUGACACACAAAUUUGUGAAGCAUUCCACAUUUUA